Molecule: microRNA, 22 nt
Filed under: Sus scrofa (pig)
Lineage: Eukaryota; Metazoa; Chordata; Mammalia; Artiodactyla; Suidae
Description: ssc-mir177
Source: RNAcentral
AGGAACUUCUACAUGCUCUAGG